GUUUAUUUCAGAACACAUGGUAGCUCAAGUAUUAAGUGCAUAAGUAGAAAAUCUAAACAAACCAUGUUUUUUAGUUCAAAAUACACUUCUUUUUUUUUUCAGUAUACAAUCAUGUUUUAUUUGAAAAGAUGUCUACGCUGUAUUGAAUACCAACACAGGUGAUGAAGAUAUUACAGCUGUGUCCCAGCAAUACUGAGUACCAAUGGUAUGUCACAAAGACCAGAAAUAUCUUCUAUUAACAUCAAACCUUCACAUCCAUCACAUAAAAGCAGUUAAAAUUUAUACAAGAUUAAUUUUGCUUUCCCUGUCUUUGCUCAGAAGCAGAAGGAGGGUCUUAGAGACUGGUCAGUCUUACUUCCUAUACUAAAGCAAACUCAGGAGUCUCUUCUAUUGAAAGGUUCUUGGUCCUACAGUGGCUGAGUCUCUGGUAUCUUGUGACAUCCAACAACGUUCUCAGCAUCUGGGAUGAAAUCUCCAUUUCCAGAAAGGUGGGGCUGAUCUGAGGGCUUGAGUCCUAGGGAGAUGAGGACUUGGGUCCUCAGCUCAUCGGAGGCUGAGAUGGUUUGGAGACUUGCAAAAAUCAAAGUAUCUUCCCAGAACUGAAGGUACAGUGGAUGCUUUGGACUAGCCUGGAAUGUGUAUGUAUUGACUGCAGUUGCUAAUUGGCAACUCCAAAAGGACUCCUGCCUCUGUGAUGUAACAGUUCCAGACUCCUUUGCCUCUUAACAGUAAUGGGGACUGGCCAGGGCAAACCCAUGGUAACAGUUGCUAAAGCUGGUGAUACUGUCUCGGCUUUGCUCCAUUUUCUAAGCAUGUUGUCUUUUGAAUCAUCCAUGAUAAAAAUUAUGCUAAAAAAUUUGUUUUCCAAAAGCAGAUGCUUCGAGGGGCCAUGGCUUGUCCUGUAUCUUCCCUUUGGUACUGCUGGCAAGUGGAGAGAUCACCAUGGCUGGCUCAAAUCUUCCAGAGAAAAUGGACUUCAGAGAGAAUGGGAACAACCUACAGGGAACAGUACAAUUCUUUAG
This 1022-nucleotide long non-coding RNA is filed under the name Mus spicilegus (steppe mouse). Its description in RNAcentral is "lncRNA (ENSMSIG00000031819.1)". Lineage: Eukaryota; Metazoa; Chordata; Mammalia; Rodentia; Muridae. The record is from RNAcentral.